RNAcentral lists this transfer RNA (76 nucleotides) under Bacteroides uniformis. Its description in RNAcentral is "tRNA-Thr". It matches the Rfam family "tRNA". Rfam says of the family: Transfer RNA (tRNA) molecules are approximately 80 nucleotides in length. Their secondary structure includes four short double-helical elements and three loops (D, anti-codon, and T loops). The record is from RNAcentral. Lineage: Bacteria; Pseudomonadati; Bacteroidota; Bacteroidia; Bacteroidales; Bacteroidaceae. RNAcentral also lists the same sequence under 170 other names.
GCCGGUCUAGCUCAAUUGGUAGAGCAACUGACUUGUAAUCAGUAGGUUGGGGGUUCAAGUCCUCUGGCCGGCACCA